AAGCUUGAUAAUGCACGUGCAAAUGGAUGUUAUGACGCAAGUUGGAAAAAAUGAUCUUAUUUACGUGGCAUUUUAAAGCGAAACCCUAAAAAAGUAUUGAGGUCGGCAGUCGAGUAAAAAAAACCUUAAGAUGAAUUGCUAGAACAGACGCCACUUUAUCGUUCUAAAAAUGUCUUAAAUUAAAAAAAUCAACCUAAUUAACCAAUUUACGUCUAUCACGCCUACGUUCGCAUGUCAAUGAUUGCGUGUUACAUACUGAACAUUAAAACACCACACAAAGACUAUAUAUAUUUACUCAGUGGAUAACGGGCCGAAUAGUACUGAUAGAUGUUCGCAUUAAUGACGGGCUCAAGUGUGUAGGCGUCCGUUGGUCGCCGUUAUUGGACAGCUGCCUCGCUGUUCUCCGCACGACCUUUCUGGCAAGUGUCCAGUGUCCGCGUACAUGAACCUGUGCUGAUGGCUAAUUUGCUGCUGAUGUGCCAAAUUGUCCAAAACGCCAGAAGAAAAACACACAAAGACGCAGUGCAACGUGAUCACUUGAAACUAAUCGCAUAGUUUCAAUAUCACUGGAAAUUAGCUAAAUUAUUUACUUUUCUUGAUUGGCAAGUUCACUGCCGUGUUGUAAAUAUACGAGUAACACAUGUAAUCCUCGACGAGUUUAAUUUUAGAUAAGAAAAAUUCAAAACUAUCAUAAUACUAAUUACUACUAUAUGUCCAUUGAAUUGACAACGUUAUAAAUAGACGUGUGAUACAUGCAAUCAAAUAGUUUUCUACUGUUUUAACGUAGCAAAAAACAGUUAAUUAUACGCUAUUAAGAUAAUGAAAUGUAUUUAAAUGUCUUAUCAGACGACGUGACUGCUAUAUUAUCAAGUUUUAUAUUAUUAUAAUGACCGUCAAUUAAUGAACAACAGAUAAUUAGUUUUCGACAUUAUUUAAUGUACAGUCAAAGAAACUAAGAAUUACAAUCGUUGGAUAUGAUUGGUCAAAUAGCAAUAAAUUACACCGCGUUCACGGAAUAUGAGUCAAAACACCACGUCAAUGCCAUUAAAAAUACUUUUUUAACGGAAUUUUAAAUCAAUCAUUCUUCAAUUAGCUAACAGAGAUUAAAUACGUUCCUAAAAUUACUUUACAUAAGUCGUUCAAAUACUGUGAAAGAGAAACAAAAAGCAAACGAACCAUUAAGGUAAGUUUAUAACGAGUAAAUCAAAAACAUAUCUACAAGAUAAUCUUCUAUUCCGGUUACA
Long non-coding RNA from Daktulosphaira vitifoliae (grape phylloxera), 1244 nucleotides. RefSeq lists it as uncharacterized. The record is from RefSeq and is a predicted model, not a curated record. Lineage: Eukaryota; Metazoa; Arthropoda; Insecta; Hemiptera; Phylloxeridae. The transcript has 3 exons.